RNAcentral lists this long non-coding RNA (1327 nucleotides) under Marmota monax (woodchuck). Lineage: Eukaryota; Metazoa; Chordata; Mammalia; Rodentia; Sciuridae. The record is from RNAcentral.
GUAACUUUGGCAGAGGUGUGGCCUUUGUUUAUUUUCAAGUUUUUCCCUCUUUUUCAGUGCAGUUUCUAUCAGAACCCAGACAUGGCAUUUCACUAUCAAAAGUUUUCCUUUGAGGCUGUCAAAACAUUUGGUUUUGAGUUUGAAAAUGUAGACAUCUCAAUGCAGAGGGAAAAAAUAGUUUUUGUGAAGAGAUCAAAACCAAGGGAAGAAUGUGCUGAUAAAACAUUCUUAUUGAAGAGAAUUUAUUGUCAUCCAAAAAUUUGUACUCUUUAUUGAUGCAUUAUAGUUAUAGAGUCUGAAAUUGAACAAAUAAUAUAAAUGAGGGUAAACAAGGAAUAUAUGUUCUUCUGCCUGUGGGAAUGUUAAUUCAUAAUACAAAUAAAUAUGAUGUUUGAAAGGGGAUUAGAUAGUCCAUAAUUGCAUGUUCUUAAAGAGUUACAGGUAUAUUGUUAUCAUUACUAAUUUUGUAUUAGUAUAUAUGAAAGACGAAGUAGGAACAUAAUGUGAAGAACAGUAGCAAGUAACUGGCAAUUCUUGCUAGCUAUAAAAAAUUUCAAGAUGCAACAAUUUUCUGUUGUAUUGUUUCUAAAGGAAAAUUGUAAAAUUUGCACGGUGAGCUCCUGGGAUUUGCAGGUCUCUCUUAAAAACAAUAUUCUUUCCAUAUCUGAAUUUAGCAGCAUGACAUGUGUGAUGGGCCAUGAGCAAAUAAUGAAUACAUUAGUGAAAUUACUAGCAAUAUACUGUACACCUAAAAUACUUUUUGUAUUGGUCAAUAUCUGAGCUUGUGCUUACAUUAAACAUGGCAUAAAUGGAAGUGUCUUCUCCACAAAGUAAGUAAAUAAACAUGAUGCAAAUCUGUUUCUGCUUCACUGACAAUAAGGAAGAAGAAAGGAUUUCUUUGCUUUGGUAGAUUGACUGAUAGUGCUAAGUAAAAGAGAGAAAUAUAAGUGAAUUCUGGUGUCUGUGAGUUCUGUUCUUGGCAGGGGAAUAGACAUUUCCAGUAAAACUAGGUUCAUGAAAGUAGGAACAGCAGAGUCUACAGCCACUCCGGAAAUAUAAUGGAGCUCCAUAGGUAUCACUUCUUCACCCCUGUAGAAAUGGAGUCUCUGAGUCUAUGUUGCACAUUUUUCUUUCUUAUUUUAGGAUGACCGACCACCCAGAGUAUCCAUCUGAUGAUGAAUACUAACAUGGACACCAUUUCAUGAUUUCUACAAGGAUCCCCCACAUUGAUAAUCAUGCGGGAGACAGCUCAAUUGAUGCUGAUUGGAGAAAUCAUUUCUGUUAAUACAUAUUUCUUAGCUUCUCACUUUUUGCUAUAGCAAAAUUC